GCCAAAUACAUGGUACAUAAAUUAAAUACAACCUAAUAAUACAACUGUCGUGUAAAAUACGACAAAACAUAAUCUGAGAGUUUUAACAAGAAUAUUGUCAUCUAGACAAUAUCCACACUCAAAUGGAGUCCUCAUUACAUUUAUUAUCACACUAUUUCACAGAAUAGUGAGGACUAAUAAAACAACCAUCUGGACCGUCAAUCCGUUCCCCGACUAGUCCUAGCUAUAUUCUCAUUUCCUGAAGAGAAC
This 249-nucleotide long non-coding RNA is filed under the name Panax ginseng (ginseng). RNAcentral describes it as "long non-coding RNA (PGIN_LNC016678)". The record is from RNAcentral. Lineage: Eukaryota; Viridiplantae; Streptophyta; Magnoliopsida; Apiales; Araliaceae.